UGCCUACGGGGGGCAGCAGUGGGGAAUAUUGCACAAUGGGCGAAAGCCUGAUGCAGCAACGCCGCGUGAAGGAAGACGGUUUUCGGAUUGUAAACUUCUGUUCUUAGUGAAGAAUAAUGACGGUAACUAAGGAGCAAGCCACGGCUAACUACGUGCCAGCAGCCGCGGUAAUACGUAGGGGGCAAGCGUUAUCCGGAUUUACUGGGUGUAAAGGGGGCGCAGACGGCAGCGCAAGCCAGGAGUGAAAGCCCGGGGCCCAACCCCGGGACUGCUCUUGGAACUGCGCGGCUGGAGUGCAGGAGGGG
This 305-nucleotide ribosomal RNA is filed under the name uncultured bacterium. RNAcentral's name for it is "bacterial SSU rRNA". It matches the Rfam family "Bacterial small subunit ribosomal RNA", at positions 335 to 657 of the family's 1533-position model. The record is from RNAcentral.